This 253-nucleotide ribosomal RNA is filed under the name uncultured bacterium. RNAcentral describes it as "partial 16S ribosomal RNA". It matches the Rfam family "Bacterial small subunit ribosomal RNA", at positions 524 to 776 of the family's 1533-position model. The record is from RNAcentral.
GACGAACCGUACGAACGUUAUUCGGAAUCACUGGGCUUAAAGGGUGCGUAGGCGGCGCAGUAAGUUGGGUGUGAAAUCCCUCGGCUUAACCGAGGAAUUGCGCCCAAAACUACUGUGCUCGAGGGAGGUAGAGGUGAGCGGAACUUAGGGUGGAGCGGUGAAAUGCGUUGAUAUCCUAAGGAACACCGGUGGCGAAAGCGGCUCACUGGACCUCUUCUGACGCUGAGCCACGAAAGCUAGGGUAGCAAACGGG